This 497-nucleotide ribosomal RNA is filed under the name uncultured bacterium. RNAcentral's name for it is "partial 16S ribosomal RNA". It matches the Rfam family "Bacterial small subunit ribosomal RNA", at positions 30 to 523 of the family's 1533-position model. The record is from RNAcentral.
AUUGAACGCUGGCGGUAUGCUUAACACAUGCAAGUCGAACGGUAACAGGCCUUCGGGCGCUGACGGGUGGCGGACGGGUGAGUAACGCGUAGGAAUCUGCCUCAUAGUGGGGGACAACGUGGGGAAACUCACGCUAAUACCGCAUACGCCCUACGGGGGAAAGCGGGGGAUCUUCGGACCUCGCGCUAUGAGAUGAGCCUGCGUUAGAUUAGCUAGUUGGUAGGGUAAAGGCCUACCAAGGCGACGAUCUAUAGCUGGUCUGAGAGGACGAUCAGCCACACUGGGACUGAGACACGGCCCAGACUCCUACGGGAGGCAGCAGUGGGGAAUAUUGGACAAUGGGCGCAAGCCUGAUCCAGCAAUACCGCGUGUGUGAAGAAGGCCCUAGGGUUGUAAAGCACUUUCAAUGGGGAGGAAAACCUGCCGGUCAAUACCCGGCAGCUUGACAUUACCUAUAGAAGAAGCACCGGCUAACUCCGUGCCAGCCGCCGCAGUAA